GGCGGGUCUUGUGUCGCACUGACUCAUCAGAUUCAUCCUCCUCCACUUCCACCCCUCUGUGUCCUUCUCCUUUGGGGCUUGGGGUUGGUCCCCGAGUGCGGCGAGGCUUUUCUUCUUCAUCCUCAUCCUCAUCCUCAUCCUCAUCAUGGUGAUGUCUUGAUCGUCGUGGAGGGAGUGGUUCAAUUUCUUUUUCUUCCUCUUUGUGUACAUGCUUUCGAGGAGGGAGAGGUUCAACCUCCUUUUCCACCUCUUUGUGUACAUGCUUUCCAUAAGGUUCAACCUCUUUUUCCUCUUCUUUGCGUACACGCUUUCCGUGGCUUGGUCGCCGUGAAGGACGAGACACAGAUUCAUCUUCAUCUUCAUCUUCAUCGUCGUCAUCUUCAUCUUCAUCCUCUUGUUGUCCUUGCCACUUGGGGCUGAUCACGCUGAGGCCUUCCUUCAGUUUAACGAUCUGCUUCAUUUCAUCGUCCGGAGAGAUAAGCUUGUUUGCUAUGUCUUGGUCGAUGUUGAGGGCUCGUGCUAAAAAGCGUUUUCCGAAGCCACUGAGCACGUUGCCACCUUCUUCCUCCGCCUGCUGCUGCUGCUUUUCUUUCAUUGCCUCUGGGUGCUCUAUAUCCGG
RNAcentral lists this long non-coding RNA (619 nucleotides) under Vigna radiata. RNAcentral's name for it is "long non-coding RNA (VRAD_LNC016543)". The record is from RNAcentral. Lineage: Eukaryota; Viridiplantae; Streptophyta; Magnoliopsida; Fabales; Fabaceae.